CAUGCAAGUAGAACGCUGAGAACUGGUGCUUGCACCGGUUCAAGGAGUUGCGAACGGGUGAGUAACGCGUAGGUAACCUACCUCAUAGCGGGGGAUAACUAUUGGAAACGAUAGCUAAUACCGCAUAAGAGAGACUAACGCAUGUUAGUAAUUUAAAAGGGGCAAUUGCUCCACUAUGAGAUGGACCUGCGUUGUAUUAGCUAGUUGGUGAGGUAAAGGCUCACCAAGGCGACGAUACAUAGCCGACCUGAGAGGGUGAUCGGCCACACUGGGACUGAGACACGGCCCAGACUCCUACGGGAGGCAGCAGUAGGGAAUCUUCGGCAAUGGGGGCAACCCUGACCGAGCAACGCCGCGUGAGUGAAGAAGGUUUUUCGGAUCGUAAAGCUCUGUUGUUAGAGAAGAAUGAUGGUGGGAGUGGAAAAUCCACCAAGUGACGGUAACUAACCAGAAAGGGACGGCUAACUACGUGCCAGCAGCCGCGGUAAUACGUAGGUCCCGAGCGUUGUCCGGAUUUAUUGGGCGUAAAGCGAGCGCAGGCGGUUUUUUAAGUCUGAAGUUAAAGGCAUUGGCUCAACCAAUGUACGCUCUGGAAACUGGAGAACUUGAGUGCAGAAGGGGAGAGUGGAAUUCCAUGUGUAGCGGUGAAAUGCGUAGAUAUAUGGAG
RNAcentral lists this ribosomal RNA (667 nucleotides) under uncultured Streptococcaceae bacterium. Its description in RNAcentral is "bacterial SSU rRNA". It matches the Rfam family "Bacterial small subunit ribosomal RNA", at positions 54 to 703 of the family's 1533-position model. Lineage: Bacteria; Bacillati; Bacillota; Bacilli; Lactobacillales; Streptococcaceae. The record is from RNAcentral.